Molecule: ribosomal RNA, 73 nt
Filed under: Euphrasia insignis
Lineage: Eukaryota; Viridiplantae; Streptophyta; Magnoliopsida; Lamiales; Orobanchaceae
Description: partial 26S ribosomal RNA
Rfam family: Eukaryotic large subunit ribosomal RNA (bases 17-73)
Source: RNAcentral
ACGGAGCUUUCGACCGCGACCCCAGGUCAGACGGGAUUACCCGCUGAGUUUAAGCAUAUCAAUAAGCGGAGGA